CGCGUAAGGCGGCUUGGCAAGCCUGGUGUUAAAAACAACGGCUUAACCGUUGGUAAGCGCUGGGAACUGCCUGGCUAGAGGUCUGGAGGGGGAGCUGGAAUUCCUGGUGUAGGGGUGAAAUCUGUAGAUAUCAGGAAGAACACCGGUGGCGAAGGCGAGCUCCUGGCCGGACUCUGACGCUGAGGCGCGAAAGCGUGGGGAGCGAACA
Molecule: ribosomal RNA, 208 nt
Filed under: uncultured bacterium
Lineage: Bacteria
Description: partial 16S ribosomal RNA
Rfam family: Bacterial small subunit ribosomal RNA
Source: RNAcentral